Molecule: ribosomal RNA, 450 nt
Filed under: uncultured bacterium
Lineage: Bacteria
Description: partial 16S ribosomal RNA
Rfam family: Bacterial small subunit ribosomal RNA
Source: RNAcentral
GUGGGGAAUUUUGGACAAUGGGCGCAAGCCUGAUCCAGCAAUGCCGCGUGCAGGAAGAAGGCCUUCGGGUUGUAAACUGCUUUUGUACGGAACGAAACGGUCCUGGCUAAUACCCGGGGCUAAUGACGGUACCGUAAGAAUAAGCACCGGCUAACUACGUGCCAGCAGCCGCGGUAAUACGUAGGGUGCGAGCGUUAAUCGGAAUUACUGGGCGUAAAGCGUGCGCAGGCGGUGCUGUAAGACAGGCGUGAAAUCCCCGGGCUCAACCUGGGAAUUGCGCUUGUGACUGCAGUGCUGGAGUGCGGCAGAGGGGGAUGGAAUUCCGCGUGUAGCAGUGAAAUGCGUAGAUAUGCGGAGGAACACCGAUGGCGAAGGCAAUCCCCUGGGCCUGCACUGACGCUCAUGCACGAAAGCGUGGGGAGCAAACAGGAUUAGAUACCCCGGUAGUCC